Molecule: non-coding RNA, 4993 nt
Organism: Varroa destructor (honeybee mite)
Lineage: Eukaryota; Metazoa; Arthropoda; Arachnida; Mesostigmata; Varroidae
Source: RefSeq, a predicted model, not a curated record
GUAUCGAGAAGAGCACAAACAAUAAACUACAGUUUCCAUCUAUAAUGAAUCCUUUAUAUACGGUUGCAAUAAUUUCAUGAUUUUCAAAAUUGAUUCACUAGUUUAAUUUUACUUCAAGCCCAUUUGUAUAGCCAUCAGUGAGUUAUUUGUCCUUCCGCCACAUAUUUUCUUGCUCAAAUGCUAACCGUGCUAAUGCUAAAAUACUAUCGCCUGUAUAAGCUGAAAGAGGUCAUUUUGGUUUGUAGACUAAAUAUAUAUUACUACCGAAGUAUAUCUGCUUAGCUUUAUAUUAAAUUUAUAAACCAUAGCAUAAGUGUCUUCAUUCAUGUAUAAGAUGAAAGAUAUACUUUAUGUUUCUAGACCUAAUAAUACCUCAAUAAUUGACUCUAGUUUUUGAGACGAUUUUUUUCCUUGAGGUACGAUCCAGAUUAAAUUAGUUUUUUUCAACUUUAAGGGAUCAGUGACAAGUUGUCACGUAUAAAAGACAUCGCAGUUAAGCUUCAUACAGUGUUAUGCUAAACCAGAUAUAUUUUUCUUUUUUUUUUAAGUCGCCUCUAACGUAAUGUAUGCAACUACACAUUCGUACUGAUGGCAGCAGGUACGGUUUUUUUGUUAGGGCUUACGUUGCCUUCAAAUAAUUCUAUUUAGAAGCGACGUGCCAUAUUUAUCCUCAACAUUGACCAAACAAGGGUCAAAUGCAAGAUUAGUGCAAUAUCGAAAUAUCACCAAUGCUACGGUUCCAAGACGAUGUCAGAAUACUGGGUGUCGACUGGGAAGCGGUUCUGUGACGCAUGCAAAUGUUACAUUGCUGACAACAAGGCAUCGAUUCAAAAUCAUGAGCAGGGAAAACGUCAUAAGGAAAAUGUCGCAAAACGCGUCGAGACCAUUGCGAAACGCGGAGCCGAGGAAUAUGCUAAAAACUCUGCUUACGAAAAGGAAAUGGCGAAGAUCGAGGCGGCAGCACUUGCAGCCGUCGCUAAGGACGGUGUUGCACUUGGUGAGCAAGAUCGCAAACAAUAUAGAGAAUUAGUAUCUCGCCGAGGAGAGAGUGCCUAUAAGUCGUGCUACGAAACAGCGACAUCGAAGGUAAAAAGCGAUCGGAGGACGAAUUCAACAAGGAAACCACCAUUUGCCCCCGCGGACAUUAAAACCCCUGACGAAACUAAAGGUGUACCUAGUGCUUGGGUCACGGUAGCAGUACGAGAUAAUUUCAGUAGAACUGAGGAUGAUGUCUUUUCAGAACAUCGAAAACCUGUUGAAGUGAAUAACAUACCGUUGCCACCACCCGAAAAACGAAAGCGAUUCGGUGAAAAGAUCGUCACCCUGUCACGGCUGGAGGACGAUGAUGGCGAUGCAACGGGAACAAGCACUAAUAUCGGAUUCGAGUUUAAACGUAAAUUUAACCGAAGCAAUUUGAGACAGAGAAACAUGGAUGACUGAUUGUGCCAAGCAGAACGAAAUUAGAUGUAUAUCACGUUACAAAAAUUAAGAAAUGAUUCUAGAGCAGCAGAGAAAACGUGUUUCGUCUUCACGUAGGUCCGUAACGCGUUUCAUUAUGCUUUGCUGGUUUGAGGGACGUAUACAGUAGCUGAAAAGCCUGUGUUGGAUUUCAGCGUCCCCGAAAUAGAAAACAAAGGUGAGUUUCCGAGCGCAUUUUUAUUCUUAGCUUAGGUCAGAGCAGGGGCUUAAUUUGCGCUACAUAAACGAAUACGAGACACGAAUACAGGAACGCUAUUGAAAUAAAUACCAGCCAAAGGAUUUCCCAGGAACUGCUUCCAGUACUCAAUCUGCUUCAUUUAAUUUUGGAUCAUGACUCUACAAAUUUUAGCAUCAGUUUUCUAACUCAUUACUAUACGAAUACGAUUUUGCAGGUCAGAAAAGCUUUUGGCGUUGUUUGACAUAAAGCGUGCUUUAAAUAAGCUGCUGGAAAGAUCGAGACUAGUCAAAUACCAGAACCAGGGCAGCUAUUCAAUUUCACCGCCGCGCAUCGAGAUUAGCCGGCCUAGGAACACAGUUCCAAUCAACUUGACUGUUUCUCGCAGCGUAUGGCAGGUUGAAGCCAAGGUUACACCCAGUGCCUUCAUUUCGGUUUACAGAAGGAUUUAUAACCAUUGAUAAUUGCCGCUGUUCUAUCGCUAUGUUCAAAGAAAAAGGCUCAGUGGCAUUUUCGCUUCACAAGCCGUGCAACAUCGUGAUUUUUUGUCGGUGAAGUGACUGCUUUACCCUCAUCCUUAAGUUUUGUGAGCCUCAUAUGCGGCAUUUUUUGUUUAUUGACAUAGCCAUUCAACAAUAAAGGAUUUUCAUCAUGAUAUAAUCAAGGAAGACUUUUGGAGUUUCUUGAUAAAUUGCUCCAGUAUUUACUCCGUUAACAACAAGUAUUGUCCGCAUUCUGUGCGACGCUUACGAGGUACGACCGUAAUCGCUUCCCCAUUUCGGUAAUAAAUUUUUAGUAGAACCAAACGGUGUUCCAAACGGUAGAUUUAGUUAUCGUAAAUUGCAAAUUCUGCUAAGUUUAUCACUCAGUAGCCUGGUAGCUUUUAUUUUGCUUGCCUACGAAACCAUGGAAGGGGGACGAAAUUCCUAUACAGACCUCUAGACCAUCCUUAGUUGGCUUGAGACGCUCAAAUGUUAUGCCUAUUGUCUCAUAAAUUCGACUUUUUCUCACACCUGUAUUCUUGAACGAUGAAAUAUAUGGUCAGUUAAGUUCUCCUACCCUUGAGCAUGCUCAUUGUCAUGCUUGAAGACAUUGAUAAGUUGAAAGCAAAUAGCAUGAGGUUUACACGAUUGCUUUAUGUCAUAGAGCAUGAGAAGGCGUUGUUGUACCCAUGUGCAAAUUUUCGUAAAGUUUAUAUCUAGGUGAGGUGGUACGUCCCCUAUCAUGGCGCCUUUUGUGAUACGAUUCAACGUGUUUAUUAAAACGUCUUCUUGAACUGUACGAUUCUUAAACUGAAUUUUACUGUUCGUACUGUUUUUUUUUUCUGGAUGCACCUUGUUUAAUUCUCUAGAUUUCAAUGGGAAAUUCCUAAGCAGUGCCGAACUUUUUUUAACAAUAUAUCUAAUAUAAUAAUAAUUCUUAUGGCCAUUCCAAUUGGUGCUCAUAUAGUCAAGUCCUCCUUGCACACCAUAAGAAACAAUUCGUUUUUUCAUGAUGUACAAGGUUUUUGCGCGUCUCUUGAACUUCUUUACCAUUUGGAUCAACCUUGUAAGUCCCGCCUCUCCUUGGCUGGCUUUGUGGUUUAGAGAAUUUCUUGGUUUGGGUCUUCGUCAAGCAUAGGUCCAGGCUAGUUCGCGCUGUACCCUUAAUUUCAUUUAUUCUUCAGGUGACAGUUUAUCAUUCCUCAAUUAAAUACAAGGCUGGGAUAAUCGUAUCCUCUAGUAUCAUAUUAUCUGUGACUACGACGGUUACACUUCAGCCUUUCCAUGUAUGUGGUACUACUCUCAACCUCUACAAGCACUCUAGUGAAGGCUUGACAACGUGUGAAUUGUAGGUGAUAUUUUCUUUGUGCCAAGAUCAUUUAUUUGCCCCUUCCUGAAGUUUAGUUUAAUAUUACGUUUAUAGGCAAUAUAAUUUUAAAAAGAUGGGUUGUCAAUGAGGUUGAGUUCAUCGAGCACUCAGAAGUGCGCAAAGUGUUCAUCGAGAAUUCAGAAAAAGAUUUUAAAGCAGUUGAAUGUUUUUAAGCAUAACUGUUUCAGAGUGCAAUCUGCGAAUCCGAACAAUAAGCAUCAGCACAUGGACGUCUGGUGAAAUACACGGAGGGGUAGUUGCACUAAUCUAUAAGAAUAAUUUGCGAAGAACAACUGUGGUUAUUAUAAGUUGGAUGCAGUGUUAUCAACACAUGCAGUUCUAAAUGAGGAAUGAAGCAGGUUGGUCGAUUUGUAGGGUUUUCUUCACAUGCAGAUAAAUGCUCAAAAAACAUUACAAAUAGUAUGUGGAUAUAAGUGUUGUUCUUGUGGAGAUCUGGGAAAAAAAUGGAAAUCUUUAUCAUUGUUCUACAUUUUUAUCUUAAAACUAUAUCUUUCUAACCAGCAUUAGAAGACUACAUAGGAAGUACUUACUUUCGCACACUAUGGCAAUUUUCUUUCUCACUUUCAAGAAGUAAGGCAUCUGGAUUUUCAAUAUGUAAACAAAUAAAUGCCUAAUAAUUUUAUGUAAUGAACAAUAGUAGUUGCGCAAAGAACUUAGGAAGAACGACGAUUUAAGCAACAAUUCAUUGCAAGAUAUGGCUCAAAUAUAAUGCUUGGAUCAUUUGAAUACUUUUUUGAAGGCGAUGUCAAACUACUAAACGUUUAGGUGACGCGGGCUUCUAAGUGCUUUGCGAUAAUCUCAUUUAUUUGUAAUAUAUGAAAACAGGUCAUCGAUUUGUAGGAACGUGACGUGUGAAAGGAAACCACAAAUUCUUGAGUUGAUCGGUUGAAUCAUCAAGGAACUAUCUCAAUAUGUCAAAUUACGAAUACAGCCGCUAGUUACAAAACUAAUGCAAGUCCAAAAAUUGAAGUUUUUCGCAGAAGAAAAUCGGUAGCUAGCCAAUUGAAUGUACAAAUAAAUAGUUCACAACAAAUCGUUUACCAAACGAAAAGUAAAGUAAUCGUCCAUAAAAUAUAGUUAGAGAUGUCCAUGCUUGAGUAGCAUCAACUAGUGAUACUAAUGGAACCUACUAUCCAGUCCUUCUCAAUAUGUUCAGCUUCUCGUCGAAAAACUCUGCAUCAACUUUUCUGCAACAAUAUUAAUAAUAAUAUAGAGCGUUUGACUCUUAGGUGGCUUUCAGUGAUACCGCUCGUACAGGGCUGUCAUUAAAUGGACAGCAACUUCGGGUACUGCAAAAACAUCGGGAAGCCUACACUCGACGACGAUUUUGUCUAACGGCAAUUUUUCUAAAUUGCUGUUAUUGUUAAAUGCUAUUGACUCUGUGGCUUUAAUAGAUACUUACUUUAUUUUGUAUUGGCUUCAAGCUUUGUUUUGUUGAUGCCAUACGGAACAUGUAUUUACAAAGAU